Long non-coding RNA from Neodiprion fabricii, 3048 nucleotides. RefSeq lists it as uncharacterized. NCBI's taxonomy places the organism in Eukaryota, Metazoa, Arthropoda, Insecta, Hymenoptera, Diprionidae. The transcript has 3 exons. The record is from RefSeq and is a predicted model, not a curated record.
AGCAGCGAAAGGAGAGCGACGUGCUUGGUGUUCUGGGACUGUAGUCGUAUUGUUCGGACUGUGAAGAAUAAUUUGAUCAGUUACUGCAGUCCCACUUACCACGCUGUCAACAUCCGACAUAAUUGAGGUAUACAACGUAGUCAAUGUCGUAUUCGCUGAUGUUGCAGUUGACGCCCCCGACUCCAACAUACUGGACAGAUCUGUGCCUUGGAUACCCUGAGAAUAGAAUAACGGAGCUCAGACGAAGUUAUCUUGGUGUUAAAAUGGGACUAAUAUGAAGACUCGGAUGAUGCGAAGUACGCCAAAAGACAAUGGAUGUUUUUUUACACAUCGAGAUAAAGUUGUGAAUUUAUAUUUAAUUACGGUACAAUCGUGCCAAGUUGUGAUUGUUUGUUAACGUCUUGAUAAUAAGGAUUGUUUGAAGGGACAGCAUGUGAAAUCGAGUGUUCAGUACCGAUACUUCGCACCUUAAUUUAGCUGGAGCUGAAAUUUUUUAUAAAAAUUAACUGAAUCGAAUCGUUUAAUACCGUGCUAUGAAGCUCGAGCGACAAUGUUUAAUUUCGAUGGAAAACAUUGCUCGUCUCAAUAUAGAAAAAUACCAUUAAGUAUCCUCCGCCCAUUGCCAGCGGGGUGAGUUGAAAAAUCUCGGGACCAAUAUUAUUAUAUUUUGAUAGAAGUUUGUGACCACGAUACAUGUACAGUAAUGAAGGUCCUCGACGCGAAGGUCAAAUUGUUUUUUGUCGGCGACGUUUCGGUUCGAGCUCCGUCGGCCAUCUUCAGACAACAAAACUUUGAACCCCAUUUUAUAUUGCGUAAAUGGCAACAUAGCAAAGAAAUUCAUUAGUUUAUGCUCUGUUAAUUUUAUCCACGUGUUCUCUCAAUUUAAAACGAUGUAUAAUCAUUUACAAGUGAAACAGUAAAUUCCAUUAUACUGAAAGUUAUUAUAAUAAUCCCCAGAGAGAACGGGAAUCAGUUGAACGGUACAUCGGAAGACUUCACAGCAAAAAACCAUAAGUCCGUAAUACAUUUUGAUAUUUUGAUACAUGUUAAGAAUUGAAUGUAAAUAAACAAAGUAUCAGUACUACAAAGAAUACGGCAAUGUUUAGUAACGAAAGAAACGUUUCUCGCAUUUUCCGUGAAAAAUAACUGGCAUUAAUUCUACAUUGAUUUCCAAGUAAGUGUUAAUAAUUCAUUUUGCAUAGUUUCAUAGUUCUUCUUUAUCCAAAUCAAGGUUCAUCGUUAACAUUAUUUUAUUUUACUCACCGUAACAGCGACCAGGAGGCACAAAGUAAUCGCGAAUUUUGCCAUCUUGAACGAUUUGGAUUGAGCAGAAUACUUGGUAGUCGAAUUGAAACAAAGUUGUGAUACGAUAUGCCGAAAUUCGCGCUCCUUAUAUACCUACGCAAUGAAACCAGCGUAAUCGUGUGCAAAUUAAACACUUGUGUAAACCCCGGAAUAAAAGCAUAAAAGUAUGGAGUGGUUAAAGCCACGACAGGAAGUUCUCUAAACUACACUAAAGAUGUAAAAAAUUGACUGCUCAUUUUUUGGGAAUGAGUAAUCUUUCACAAGGCUCACCAGAUAUUUGGCCUAGGAAACGAUUCAAUUCUAGGAGAAUAAUGGAACCUGUUCAGUAUAAAAUUCUGUGAUUUAGGAAUAUCGGAGGUAUCUCAGAAAAAAAAAUCGAGAUGUACAGAGUAUUUCAACACAGGUAACUAAUUUCUUAAGUCUUAUUGCACUUUUCUUUUCUAGGUCGAUCACAUUAGUCUACUUUGUUGUUUUGACUUUUCAUUUUUCAGCUCUGCAAUAACUAUCAACUUUCUUAAGAUUCCUGUUUUGAUCGGUAUCAAUCCAUUUUGGAUUUCUCAUGACUCGUAUGGAAAUUCCCAGCUUUAUUUCAGCCAUUUUAAAUCAUAUUGUAUCCAAGCCUGUGCGAAUCUUGGAAAAGUAGAAGACCACCAAAAUUCAUUUACCUUCUCGACAAUUCGCAAAAUAAACUCGUGUACGCCAUUUGUGUAACCUUAGCAGUUGAAUGUUUGCUUCGUUAGUAUUAUUUCUACAUCGAGUUACGUCGUAGUGAUAAAUGAAGAAAUUAAGAUAAGGUUGAUGCUCCAAAUUACGACUGAUCGUCAGAAGGUGCAAGAUAAAAGUAAUGAAUUAAUGAUUCUGAUGCAUUUCUUUUUCGCGAAAAGUAGAGAAAUAUAUUGAAUUCCAGCAAUUUAUUUGACGAAGGUAACAAAAACUUUUAUUUCCCAUUUCUUAAAAAAUAUACAUAUAUUUAUUGGGCUAGAACGAAAUUUUUCUUAUCGAUGUUAGUUAACGUAGUAGGCAAUCCAUUGCAUUACUGGAAAGGAAUAUUUUUUACGUCUGUAACAGCGAGAGAAAUUAGGUAUCAAACCUGUUGAAUCUAAUUAUAGGGUUCGCGUUUACAGAUGCGUAUAAUUUUAACGUAGCCCCAACGCACGCACUGAUUCAGAUCACUUGUCUAAAUAUAGCAGAAAAUAUUGGAGAAUCGAAAUCGCUAUCGCUCUGUUCAUCAAACAGGUAUACUGCAAAUAUUUGCAUGGUUUUGCUCACUUAAUCGUAUUAUCAUCAUUUUACCAAUCAUAUAAUUAUUCUAUGUCUCGUAAUCGAGUUACUGACAUUGAGUUCAAUCGACCCCACUGAAGUAUCAACGUGCUAUUAUUCUACCAUCUGUUUUUUCCUUUACUUCGAAUAUUAUCUUUCUGUCCCUGAUCACAAAACUUGGAUUUCUAGCAUUUAUACUUUUUCCACAGCGAAAACUUAGACAUUAAUUGGAGACACUGUGGAAUAUGCAUCGACAGUUUCGUUGGAUAAUAGGAUGGAAAAUAAUUUUUGCAGUGUCGAGCAAAUCCGGACGUAUAUGUUGAACACGCGUCGACUUUGUGACGUUUUUGAAACCCUCGUGCAUUUACAGUCAAUCUGAAUUUAUAAAUUCGAAUAGAUGUCUUGACACAACAUGUAUGUGAAAGGUGAUUGCAACAGAUUGCACGAAGAUCCUUGAUACGUCAUCGAAUCAAUAAUAUAAUU